GGUUCGAUGGCGUAGUUGGUUAUCGCAUCUGUCUAACAUUGCUAUAUCCUUGUUGUGUUUCACAGAAGGUCUCCGGUUCGAGCCCGGGUUGAAUCA
Non-coding RNA from Lentinula lateritia, 96 nucleotides. The record is from the annotation of a GenBank genome assembly. NCBI's taxonomy places the organism in Eukaryota, Fungi, Basidiomycota, Agaricomycetes, Agaricales, Omphalotaceae.